Molecule: ribosomal RNA, 508 nt
Filed under: uncultured bacterium
Lineage: Bacteria
Description: partial 16S ribosomal RNA
Rfam family: Bacterial small subunit ribosomal RNA
Source: RNAcentral
AUUGAACGCUGGCGGCAUGCCUUACACAUGCAAGUCGAACGGCAGCGGGGGAGAAGCUUGCUUUUCCUGCCGGCGAGUGGCGAACGGGUGAGUAAUACAUCGGAACGUGCCCUGUAGUGGGGGAUAACUAGUCGAAAGAUUAGCUAAUACCGCAUACGACCUGAGGGUGAAAGUGGGGGACCGCAAGGCCUCAUGCUAUAGGAGCGGCCGAUGUCUGAUUAGCUAGUUGGUGGGGUAAAGGCCUACCAAGGCGACGAUCAGUAGCUGGUCUGAGAGGACGAUCAGCCACACUGGGACUGAGACACGGCCCAGACUCCUACGGGAGGCAGCAGUGGGGAAUUUUGGACAAUGGGCGAAAGCCUGAUCCAGCAAUGCCGCGUGUGUGUAGAAGGCCUUCGGGUUGUAAAGCACUUUUGUCCGGAGAGAAAUGGCUCUGGUUAAUACCUGGGGUCGAUGACGGUACCGGAAGAAUAAGGACCGGCUAACUACGUGCCAGCCGCCGCGGUAA